CCGAGUUAUACAACUCAUCAACCCCUGUGAACUAUACCUUAACUGUUGCUUCGGCGGGACCCUUACGCCGCCCCGCCAGAGGACCCCUAACCUCUGAAUUUUUAAUAAUGUAUUUCUGAGUGGUAACAACAAAUGAAUUA
RNAcentral lists this unclassified non-coding RNA (140 nucleotides) under soil metagenome. RNAcentral describes it as "partial internal transcribed spacer 1". The record is from RNAcentral.